AACGCACCUUGCGCUCUUGGGUCAUUCCCGAGAGCAUGCUUGUUUGAGUAACGGAAAGCCUCAACCCCGCUUUGAUUAGUAGAUUGGGUUGGAUCGUGACGCUCUGCGGGUCUCGCUUGCGCGAGUCCGCUGCGUUGAAAUGCAAGAAGCUGAAACUAAAUCGAGAUAUAAAUCUGCAGGCUUCGGCUAGCUAUUGUUAUAACACUUCGGUCUCAAUAGCGUUGCGCUCUCUGAUUGCAAAAGUAGGCUUGUACUUUACGGUUUCGCGACUGACAUUAACUUGUUCUCGCGCAAACAAAACCUUUUUAAGCUUGUUCUCAAAUCAAGUAGGACUACCCGCUGAACUUAA
RNAcentral lists this unclassified non-coding RNA (349 nucleotides) under uncultured fungus. RNAcentral's name for it is "partial contains 5.8S ribosomal RNA, internal transcribed spacer 2, and large subunit ribosomal RNA". The record is from RNAcentral. Lineage: Eukaryota; Fungi.